This 568-nucleotide ribosomal RNA is filed under the name uncultured Methanosarcinales archaeon. RNAcentral describes it as "bacterial SSU rRNA". It matches the Rfam family "Archaeal small subunit ribosomal RNA", at positions 357 to 924 of the family's 1478-position model. Lineage: Archaea; Methanobacteriati; Methanobacteriota; Methanomicrobia; Methanosarcinales. The record is from RNAcentral.
GCGGGAACCGCGAUAAGGGAAUCUCGAGUGCCAGCAUAUAAUGUUGGCUGUCCAGAUGCCUAAAAAGCAUUUGUUAGCAAGGGCCGGGCAAGACCGGUGCCAGCCGCCGCGGUAACACCGGCGGCCCGAGUGGUAACCGUUAUUAUUGGGUCUAAAGGGUCUGUAGCCGGCCGAAUAAGUCUCUUGGGAAAUCUGGCAGCUUAACUGUCAGGCAGUCAGGGGAUACUGUUCGGCUUGGGACCGGGAGAGGUGAGAGGUACCUCGGGGGUAGGGGUGAAAUCUUGUGAUCCUCGAGGGACCACCAGUGGCGAAGGCGUCUCACCAGAACGGGUCCGACGGUAAGGGACGAAAGCUAGGGGCACGAACCGGAUUAGAUACCCGGGUAGUCCUAGCCGUAAACGAUGCUUGCUAGGUGUCAGCCACGGUGCGACCGUGGUUGGUGCCGUAGGGAAGCCGUGAAGCGAGCCACCUGGGAAGUACGGCCGCAAGGCUGAAACUUAAAGGAAUUGGCGGGGGAGCACUACAACGGGUGGAGCCUGCGGUUUAAUUGGAUUUCCAACGCCGGAAA